Molecule: long non-coding RNA, 308 nt
Filed under: Cricetulus griseus (Chinese hamster)
Lineage: Eukaryota; Metazoa; Chordata; Mammalia; Rodentia; Cricetidae
Description: lncRNA (ENSCGRG00015001474.2)
Source: RNAcentral
UGAUGCUGAUCUGGAGCUAACUAGCUACAGCAGACUCUGCCAGCUGGUGACUUGGACAAGCAUAUCUACCCAGCUACCUCUUUGCUGUCAGUUGAGGAUAAAACCAGCACCUGCUCCCUGGACACUGAGGAGAGACCUUCAGGGGCACAUGAACCCUAGGAUACGGAUAAGAAACCAACAAGGUUUGCUGCCUACUGUGGCUGCUGCCAGAGGGUGUAGCACAGAUGACGGUGCCCAUGUGACUCAGCCACCCUCACAAAGACAGCUGUGUGCCAGUGCCCAGGACAGCCCUUUCCACUCGGGGACAU